This 387-nucleotide ribosomal RNA is filed under the name uncultured bacterium. RNAcentral describes it as "bacterial SSU rRNA". It matches the Rfam family "Bacterial small subunit ribosomal RNA", at positions 28 to 417 of the family's 1533-position model. The record is from RNAcentral.
GACGAACGCUGGCGGCGUGCUUAACACAUGCAAGUCGAGCGGUAAGGCCCUUUCGGGGGUACACGAGCGGCGAACGGGUGAGUAACACGUGGGUGACCUGCCCUUAGCUCUGGGAUAAGCCUGGGAAACUGGGUCUAAUACCGGAUAUGACUCCAUGACGCAUGUUGUGGGGUGGAAAGCCUUGUGCGGCUAGGGAUGGGCCCGCGGCCUAUCAGCUUGUUGGUGGGGUGAUGGCCACCAAGGCGACGACGGGUAGCCGGCCUGAGAGGGCGACCGGCCACACUGGGACUGAGACACGGCCCAGACUCCUACGGGAGGCAGCAGUGGGGAAUCUUGCGCAAUGGGCGAAAGCCUGACGCAGCGACGCCGCGUGAGGGAUGACGGCCU